UCGUAACAAGGUUUCCGUAGGUGAACCUGCGGAAGGAUCAUUAACGUAUCUCUGACGGGGUGUGGGCUUGCCCUGCUCCGGCCCAAAUUGGGCCGUGCAGCGGGUGGCCGCCCCCGCUCAAACCUCACAAACCCACUGUGAACCUUCACGGCAGACGGGCCAUGGCUAGCGCCUUGUCCCCGACGCCGCAACCAAACUCCAGUUGCAAAGAAUGUACUGCGGACCUGUGCCGCCUAAACACAUAACAACUUUCAACAACGGAUCCCUUGGCUCUCGCAUCGAUGAAGAACGCAGCGAAAUGCGAUAAGUAAUGUGAAUUGCAGAAUUCAGUGAAUCAUCGAAUCUUUGAACGCACCUUGCGCUCCUUGGUAUUCCGAGGAGCAUGCCUGUUUGAGUGUCUUGAAGUCAUCAACCCUGUCUGUUUUUGUGCAGACCAGGGUUGGAUUGGUGGGGGUCUGCUGCCGUGAGGUGGCUCCCCUCAAAUGCAUCGGUUGGGCCUGUGGGUCGAAAUCGACUGGGCGUUGUACCAUCCUCGCUCGACAGAGAUGUCCCUAUUGUGCCCUUCCCCGACCUGCCUCUCAGAGUGGCGGUCACAAGCAAAAGCUUUGAAAUCUGACCUCAAAUCAGGUAGGACUACCCGCUGAACUUA
Molecule: ribosomal RNA, 649 nt
Filed under: uncultured fungus
Lineage: Eukaryota; Fungi
Description: eukaryotic LSU rRNA
Rfam family: 5.8S ribosomal RNA (bases 247-400)
Source: RNAcentral